Molecule: ribosomal RNA, 481 nt
Filed under: uncultured bacterium
Lineage: Bacteria
Description: partial 16S ribosomal RNA
Rfam family: Bacterial small subunit ribosomal RNA
Source: RNAcentral
GACGAACGCUGGCGGCGUGCUUAACACAUGCAAGUCGAGCGGAAAGGCCACUUCGGUGGUACUCGAGCGGCGAACGGGUGAGUAACACGUGAGUAAUCUGCCCCUGGCUUUGGGAUAGCCACCGGAAACGGUGAUUAAUACCGGAUACGACCACUUCUCGCAUGGGAUGGUGGUGGAAAGUUUUUUCGGCCAGGGAUGUGCUCGCGGCCUAUCAGCUUGAUGGUGAGGUAAUGGCUCACCAUGGCUUCGACGGGUAGCCGGCCUGAGAGGGUGGCCGGGAACGCUGGGACUGGGACACGGCCCAGACUCCAACGGGAGGCAGGAGUGGGGAAUAUUGGACAAUGGGCGGAAGCCUGAUCCAGCAACGCUGCGUGGGGGAUGACGGCCUUCGGGUUGUAAACCUCUUUCAGCAGGGACGAAGCGCAAGUGACGGUACCUGCAGAAGAAGCACCGGCCAACUACGUGCCAGCCGCCGCCGUAA